This 731-nucleotide long non-coding RNA is filed under the name Homo sapiens (human). RNAcentral's name for it is "HSALNT0324175". Lineage: Eukaryota; Metazoa; Chordata; Mammalia; Primates; Hominidae. The record is from RNAcentral.
GGCACUCUGGGAAGGCAACCUAGGAAGGGUGGGGCCCUGGGGCCUUUUGAGGAGCUAAGUGGCCAAGGAGAGUGCUUUGUGAGUCUCUUGUUGGAAGGACUGUCUUUAAAUUAAAGCAAUUAGAGUUACUUUAUAAGAUUUACCCAAAUAUAAGAGCUGAAGAGAAUAAUUCAAAUUGAUCAGAAGAAAAUACUCAAUUACUGACAAAUGUCAAUUACAUCAAUAGCCUAGGCUGCUCUUGAACUCCUGGGCUCAAACGAUCCUCCCCUGUCGGCCUCCCAAAGUGCUGGGAUUACAAGCUUGAACCACCAUGCCCAGCCUCAGAAAUUUUUUAAAUGACAGCUCAUACAGUUUUCUUUUAUAAAGGAGGAGAAAAUGUGUAAUUGUAAGCAGCUGAACUAAAAUAUCUCUGUGACAUUUUGCUGGUGACUCCAGCCCUGUGAGAUCUGAGUGGCUCAGGAAUCAAAUUCUCCCACAAACCUGAGGAAGCCUUUUAUUCUUAAUGCCAACAGGAUGCCCCAUGCCCAGAAUGUCAAAUCUGAACACCAAUGGAAUGCAUUUUAUAAACAAAUUGAAAAAGGACAAUCUUUAACAGAAUUGUUGUUCUCUAGGCAGAUUAGUUGUGCUUCAAAUACAAAAUGAAAUAUUAGAGAACAAAAUUAUUUUUAAACAGCUAAUACUAGUAGAAAAUAAAAGGCUGAAAAGUGCUAUAAUGUGUAAAAGGACUAAAA